GCCGCCACGUGCUUCGCUGCACGCCUCUUUCUGCCCGACAGGGCCGAAGCUAUGGGUAAUCAACACCCCGAUGGAGGGAUCCAAUGGUGCACCCACUUUUCGAGUCCCCUGGAAGAAGUGGAACGGCGUCAACCAUCGCUGGAUUUUUAGAUGUUUAGUAAUUGCAAUAGCGUGCGUAUGCGUAGAUCUGCGAGCGAGUUAUAGGUUAUGCGGAAUGAUGAUGAUUGUAGUGCGAUUGUAAAGCGUUUUGUAUCCUAGCGUUUAAGAGUGAAUAAAGCGGCGUUUAGACAGCAAAAGGAAAAGAAGAGAGGAUAGUGUAUGCAAGUGUGAGUGAGUGCAGUGAGGAGAAAGAAGAGGAAAGGAGCCGCCAAAUUAAUUAAAAAUUGUAAAAAUUUAAAUAAAUAGAAUUGUACGGGCAUGGUAUUAUUAGAGACCAUGCUCAACACAUAAAAUUAUAAAAAUGUGUAAAUAAAAAAAAAAAAAAAAAAUAAUAAAAAUUAUAAAAAUUA
Long non-coding RNA from Megalopta genalis, 509 nucleotides. RefSeq lists it as uncharacterized. Lineage: Eukaryota; Metazoa; Arthropoda; Insecta; Hymenoptera; Halictidae. The record is from RefSeq and is a predicted model, not a curated record.